CCCCUGCCUGGAGCCUCACACAUGACUCGUCUCCUCUCAGUGACCACAGGUUGGUUGAGGGGUUUAACAAGGCUAAGAAGGUGAGACGUGGUCUUGUAACACAGUGGUUAAGAAUGUGACUUUGGAGCCAGCCUGCUAGGGGCUGAAUUCUGACUCAGCCAUUUACUAACUGUGUGACCUUAGGUGGAGUCUCACUCUGUAGCCCAAGCUGGAGUGGUGUGAUCUCGACUCACUGCAACCUCCGCCUCCUGGGCUCAAGUGAUUCUCGUGCCUCAGCCUCCUGAGUAGCUGGGACUACAGCCAGAGACAGACUCCCAGACUCGGCCAGAGGCUGAUGCCGACUCCUUCCAGCUCUCACGGUAACCAUGAGGCCCCUGCGUGUUUCUGCUGUGGAGGUCCCAGAGGGAACUGUAUGGACAGACACAGCCUGAAGGGCCAUCUGCCUCAAGCCACAGCAGCACAGAAUUCUAAAGAUUGUGGGGAAGGAUGGCGCCUAGGGGACCAGAUGUGCAGAGGUAAUGAAUACCAGGGAAUCAGGAAACCACUGGAUCAGUUCUUUGAGCCACAGAACAACACUCAUCCCAGCAGCUGGGAAGCUAUCUGCAAAAGUCCAUCUGCAGAAAGGGCUUCCUGGUCUUGCGUGUGGCUGGGCCAUUUCUCUGGAUGCAGGUUUUUCAUUAUACAGUCUUCUCAAAGAAACACCUGCUCUCAACACCUUCUCGGUGACUCCAUUUCCCCUCCUCU
This 744-nucleotide non-coding RNA is filed under the name Pan troglodytes (chimpanzee). Lineage: Eukaryota; Metazoa; Chordata; Mammalia; Primates; Hominidae. The record is from RNAcentral.